ACUCCUGCCCCGUGUGGCACAAGGGCAUAGGCCUCCUCCGCCCAUGUCUAGGGGAGGUACCGCUGUCGGGGUUAAUAGAUUUUUGGGCGACAGGGGCCAUCACUUUGAGCGGGGACAUGGGGAUUUCUUUUUUUUAAUUAAUUAAUUAAUUAAUUUAUUUAUUUAAUUAUUUUUGGCUGUGUUGGGUCUGCGUUUCUGUGCGAGGGCUUUCUCUAGUUGUGACGAGUGAGGGCCACUCUUCAUUGCGGUGCGCGGGCCUCUCACUGUCGUGGCCUCUCUUGUUGCGGAGCACAGGCUCCAGACGCGCAGGCUCAGUAGUUGUGGCUCACGGGCUUAGUUGCUCCGUGGCAUGUGGGAUCUUCCCAGACCAGGGGUCGAACCCGUGUCCCCUGCAUUGGCAGGCAGAUUCUCAACCACUGCGCCACCAGGGAAGCCCAGGGAUCUUUUUUUGCCGUCCUCAGUACUAGAUUUCAUGACAACCCCCCAUCCCCACACCUUCCUCCCAUCUGACAGCAUUCCCACCAACCUGGAUCUGGAUUUGGGUCUACACAGCAUCUCGCCACCAGGUGCAGCUGCCAUUGUGGCGGUGGCGGUGCCAGCGCAGGCAGCGUCAAAGAUGGCGACAUAGAUACAGAGAUCUGGGAUGUCGGUAACGUGGGAAGAGGAAGGCUGGCAUACAUUCCCUACCUCCCACCAACUCCCCUCCUUUCUCCUGUCUCCUCUCGCCUCAGACUACCCAGAUUGCUAGAGUUGAAGACCGCCUUCCAACCGCUGGUGCCGGGGACAGAAACACAACAAGGCCGGUUGCUAUGCGACAGGUUGGCUAGGCUCUGGGAGAGCGCCACCGUGGCGUCGUGGAACAGACUCAGAGAUCUCGGCAGUUGGCAGGCGUAGGCGAAGGCUGUGUCUGGUGCUCUAUGAAGGGCCUGUGGCCUAUGUCUUCCAGUGGUCCAGGGCACGGACGGAUGGAUAAAUGGAAAGGUGGAUGGAUCGACGGAUGGAUGAAUAGAUGGAUGGAUUGUUGGGCCUGCUGAGAGUGGAGGAAAGCCAGAUCCGGAAUUGGGUAGACUCUGCGUCUCGCCACCAGGUCCAGCGGCUACCGCGGUGGCGGCGUUGUCAAAGAUGGCAGCACAUACUCAGAGAUCCGGGAUAUUGGUAACCCAAGGAGAGAAAGGCUGGCACACCCUCCCUACCUCCUAUCAUUUCCCUUAUGUCCUCUCCCUCUUACUCUCUGACAACCCAGCUUGCCAGGGUUGAAGCCCGCCCUCCCACUGCGCAUGCGCGGGACACAACGGCAGCUAGCUUCGGAAAGACAGGCACGGUUGUCAUUGGAAGGGACCAUCACUUCCAGCAGGACUUGGGGAUCUUCAUGAGCCCCUCCGCAACCAGAUUUCAUCGCGACCCCUUCCUCCAUUUCCACCCGCUGGAAUACAGGUUUGGGUUCACGGUGGUGCAAAGCAUGUCUGCGUCUUGCCACCAAGGCCAGCUGCCACUGUGGCAGCGCCGGCGGCUGCGCCCACGGUGGCAGCAGAAACCCAGAGAUCUGGGAUCUCGCGGACCUGAGGAGAUCUCCCCCUAUCCAACACCCCACCCCCGCCCGCCCCACCCCCCGCAAGAGUCCAGCUUUCCAUUGUUGAAGACCGCCCUCGAACAGCGCAGGCACUGGCCAAGGAGCGCUGGUGGCUUCAGUGACCAAGAUGGUUGCUAAAGAUGGGUCCUCCAAGAUCAGGGGGAGCGAGAGCUCCCUCUGGUGGUGGGAAGGAGCAGGCUGUGGCCCGUGCUCCAUUUUAGGGCCUGUGGCCUCAGUCUUCCAGUGAUCCAGUAGAUGGAUGGAAUGAAGGAUGAAGGAUGAUGGACAGAUGGAUGGAUGGAUUGUUGGGGCUACAGAGAAUGGAGGAAUGCGGUCUGGGCCAGUCUGACCAAGCAGGAUCAGAAGCCUACCAGUGGAAUCCCUUCCUCCCGCCAUGCUUCAGAGAGUGCCUGGGGCUAUCCUGGAAGAGGACUGCCUUGUAACCCCCGAGAUGGGACUGCUUGUGUAUUUCUGGGUGGCUUUGCUCCCUUAUAGGUUUCAAAGCAGGGAGUCAGAAGGAAUUCCCGUGCGGUCCAGUGGUUAGGACUCCUCACUUUCACUGCCAAGGGCCUGGUUCAAUCCCUGGUUGGGGAACUAAGAUCCCAAAGCCAGGGCAGGGCGAAAAAAAAAAAAAAAUCAUGGAGCCAGAGCCAGAGCCUGAGGAGAUGCCCCUGUGGGUGGAUGAUUGGGGCUUGUCCAAUGGGCCUGGGACUCCCUGCAGUCCCUAUUCUUCCUGAUGACCUUGUGGCUGUAUUGCUGUGUUUGGUUGUGACUGAAUAUGACUUCUUUUCCCUC
Long non-coding RNA from Balaenoptera ricei (Rice's whale), 2365 nucleotides. RefSeq lists it as uncharacterized. The record is from RefSeq and is a predicted model, not a curated record. Lineage: Eukaryota; Metazoa; Chordata; Mammalia; Artiodactyla; Balaenopteridae. The transcript is spliced from 3 exons.